This 377-nucleotide ribosomal RNA is filed under the name uncultured bacterium. RNAcentral describes it as "bacterial SSU rRNA". It matches the Rfam family "Bacterial small subunit ribosomal RNA", at positions 524 to 898 of the family's 1533-position model. The record is from RNAcentral.
UACGUAGGGUGCGAGCGUUGUCCGGAAUUAUUGGGCGUAAAGAGCUUGUAGGCGGUUUGUCGCGUCUGUCGUGAAAACCAGGGGCUUAACUCCUGGCGUGCGGUGGGUACGGGCAGGCUAGAGUGUGGUAGGGGAGACUGGAAUUCCUGGUGUAGCGGUGAAAUGCGCAGAUAUCAGGAGGAACACCGAUGGCGAAGGCAGGUCUCUGGGCCAUUACUGACGCUGAGAAGCGAAAGCAUGGGGAGCGAACAGGAUUAGAUACCCUGGUAGUCCAUGCCGUAAACGUUGGGCGCUAGGUGUGGGGCUCAUUCCACGAGUUCUGUGCCGCAGCUAACGCAUUAAGCGCCCCGCCUGGGGAGUACGGCCGCAAGGCUAAA